AUGAACGCUGGCGGCGUGCCUAAUACAUGCAAGUCGCGCGAACGGACGAGAAGCUUUCUUCUCUGAUGUUAGCGGCGGACGGGUGGGUAACCCUUGGAUAACCUACCUAUAAAACUGGGAUAACUUCGGGAAACCGGAGCUAAUACCGGAUAAUUUUUUUCACCCCAUGGUUCAAAAGUUAAAACCGGUCUUGCUUUCACUUUUAGAUGGAUCCGCGCUGCAUUAGCUAGUUGGUAAGGUAACGGCUUACCAAGGCAACGAUGCAUAGCCGACCUGAGAGGGUGAUCGGCCACACUGGAACUGAGACACGGUCCAGACUCCUACGGGAGGCAGCAGUAGGGAAUCUUCCGCAAUGGGCGAAAGCCUGACGGAGCAACGCCGCGUGAGUGAUGAAGGUCUUCGGAUCGUAAAACUCUGUUAUUAGGGAAGAACAUAUGUGUAAGUAACUGUGCACAUCUUGACGGUACCUAAUCAGAAAGCCACGGCUAACUACGUG
RNAcentral lists this ribosomal RNA (496 nucleotides) under uncultured bacterium. Its description in RNAcentral is "partial 16S ribosomal RNA". It matches the Rfam family "Bacterial small subunit ribosomal RNA", at positions 29 to 507 of the family's 1533-position model. The record is from RNAcentral.